UCCGCCGUGGUGUAAAGGCAGCACCUCGGAUUUUGGUUCCGAUGGUCCAGGUUCGAAUCCUGGCGGCGGAGCGA
This 74-nucleotide transfer RNA is filed under the name Saccharopolyspora rectivirgula. RNAcentral's name for it is "tRNA-Gln". It matches the Rfam family "tRNA". Rfam says of the family: Transfer RNA (tRNA) molecules are approximately 80 nucleotides in length. RNAcentral also lists the same sequence under 11 other names. The record is from RNAcentral. Lineage: Bacteria; Bacillati; Actinomycetota; Actinomycetes; Pseudonocardiales; Pseudonocardiaceae.